This is a non-coding RNA of Phrynosoma platyrhinos (Desert horned lizard), 68 nucleotides long. The record is from the annotation of a GenBank genome assembly. Lineage: Eukaryota; Metazoa; Chordata; Lepidosauria; Squamata; Phrynosomatidae.
GCCAGUGUGGUGUAGUAGUUUGUUGGAUUAUAACUCUGGAGACCAGGGUUCAAAUCCCCGCUCAGUCA